CUGAAAACAUGAGUAUGUUACAGUCAGUCUUAAGUUUGCAAUUAAUAUUGUGAAUGAAUUGUAAUUAACAUUGAUUUUAAAACAGAUCCUUUUCCAAGACCGUACCCACAAUGUCGUUGAGUGAACCCAUCACCGCUAACAUCCCACGUUAAGAAGAUCGAUCUUAAAAGUUGCUGCACUUUAACUGCCCGUCCAUCGAUCGAAAAGCGAGCAAAAUCUGUAUAAACUACAAAUUUGAUUGUAAAUGUUGAAGAAUUGUAAUAGAAUGAAAUUAAAAACAGAUAUAAAGAAAAUAAUACUAGAUGUAGUGAGAGAAUAAAAAGAAAUAAUUUAAAUGAAAAUGUAUCAUCAAACGAUUGACUCAAUUGCAAGCAAUUAUUUCCAUUCUCAAGUUAUUUAUCCGUUUCAGGUCAUUGUGAGUCGAUUCAGACGCUCCUUAUUUGAUGAUAAAAAUUCCCCGCACACCCACACUUAAAAAUUUUCUAUCAGCUGACCCAGCGCAGGCGUUGACAAAAAAAAAAGUACUCCUGAGAGUGAAGUUAUUUAUCCGUUUCAGGUCAUUUUGAGUCGAUUCAGACGCUCCUUAUUUGAUGAUAAAAAAAUUCCCCGCGCACCCACACUUAGAAAAUUGUUCACUAACUUACCCGGCGCAGGCGUUGACCAAAAAAAAAAGUACUCCUGAGAGUCAAGUUAUUUAUCCGUUUCAGAUCAUUUUGAGUCGAUUCAGACGCUCCUUAUUUGAUGAUAAAAACUUCCCCGCACAAACACACUUAGAAAUUUCCUAUCAGCUGACCCAGCGCAGGCGUUUAGCAAAAGAAAGAAGUACUCCUGAAAGUCGUUAUUUAUCCGUUUCAGGUCAUUUUGAGUCGAUUCAGAUGCUCCUUAUUUGAUGAUAAAAAAAUUCCCCGCGCACACACACUUAGAAAAUUGUUCACUAACUUACCCGGCGCAGGCGUUGACCAAAAA
Molecule: long non-coding RNA, 966 nt
Organism: Cotesia glomerata
Lineage: Eukaryota; Metazoa; Arthropoda; Insecta; Hymenoptera; Braconidae
Exons: 2
Source: RefSeq, a predicted model, not a curated record